UUUUUCUCCUAUUAAUGUCUUGUGUUAAUUUUAUGAUUAGUCCAGCUGCAAGAACUCAAGAGGAGUAAGGGGAAAAUUUCUCCCUCCUCAUCAGUUUUUGAAAGAAAGCCAGUGGAAUCACUGCUUGGAAAACUUCUUUCCCCUGGGACUACUGAAGAGGAAGAGAUCCUGGGAUGUCUGAGAGAAGCUGGGAGAAGAAACGCCUUUUAUCAAAUACCUGAUUGCUUGUGCAAUGUAGUCCUAACUUUGGGAGCCCAUCUGCAUCAUUGCCUCCUAAAAUGAGUUCAACCCAGCUGACCUAUUCUCAGGACUAAGAAACUGGUUCGAUGAAAUAGUGGAGCAAUCUACCACCUCAAUUUCAACAUGUGAAACUUCCAAGGAAGUUCCAGAGGAGAGAACUAAUAGAGUUCAUGGAAGAAAAUAUUACAGGCUCGGAAAGAACAGAAUCAAAUAAGUCUAAAGGAAUUAGAGUAGCAACUUCAGAUUCUAGGGAACCUGCAAGAGCGCAGAGCUUCAUGACCUGCAAGUAUGUAUCACUGGAUGACGGGAGCCUCCAAUCAGAGCACUCCAAGCCCCAUCCCCCACUGGCUCAGUCAAUGAAGGACCUGCAGAACCUGACCCACAGUCAUUGGUUCAAAGCGGGAGCAAGUGACCCAGGGGUGAACCAAUUAGUGCCUUCCUUGGUGUUCAUCCUUGGAGACUCAGGAAGAAAUCGAUGUAUUUUUUUUUUUGUCUGUUUGUUCAGGGGUCUUAAAUCUCAAUCCCUGCUAAUAGUAAGUUUAUUUGGGAAGGAAAAAAUCUCUCUCUGGUUAGACAAGGAAGUGAUUCUAAUGACUAGAAGAGUAGCUCCACAUUAUAUAUUUAAGAAAUGCUGAGUAAAACCACUCUGGGCAAGCAAUUGUUUUUCCCAUCUCACAUCUGUACGAGUACUCACUUAACAGCUAAAUGUCUUUCACCCGCCACCAUGUACUUCUCAUAUGCUCCCACUCAGUUUAACACUUACAUUGCUC
RNAcentral lists this long non-coding RNA (1010 nucleotides) under Equus caballus (horse). RNAcentral describes it as "lncRNA (ENSECAG00000051593.1)". The record is from RNAcentral. Lineage: Eukaryota; Metazoa; Chordata; Mammalia; Perissodactyla; Equidae.